Long non-coding RNA from Photinus pyralis (common eastern firefly), 655 nucleotides. RefSeq lists it as uncharacterized. The record is from RefSeq and is a predicted model, not a curated record. Lineage: Eukaryota; Metazoa; Arthropoda; Insecta; Coleoptera; Lampyridae. The transcript is spliced from 3 exons.
GUCGCCCCAACGCUCAUACACCCGAGCCCUGACGAGUGUACGUCGGGUUACUGUUGUCUCAUUUGCAACAUCAAGGUCAUUUAGUUGUAGAUACGUUAGAUCCUCUCUAGCCCUUUGGCUCAGCGUUCUGCACCUAUUCAGUCGUCGACGUGGAACUGCGCCUGCCAUCGAUACGUGAUUCGGAUGUCGUUCAUCCGAAAUUACUUUAAGAUAAUAGUUUACAGCAGCCUGUUUACGACGGAGGGCUAGAGGAAGGAUGUUCGCCUCGACGUGAAGCGCAGCGACCGGACUCGUUGGAAAAGCUCCGAGGGAAUACCGUAUGGCGAGGUUUUGGAUUUUAUCGAGAUUCCCAAGCAUCGCACUGUUGUCACAUGUCAGAUAAGCACAGCACCCAUAAUCAAUUCUCGAUAAAAUUAAGGCCUUGUAGACGUCGAGUAACGUCUUUGGGUGAGCUCCCCACUUAUGGUGGGCCAGGACCCUAAUGACAUUUAAUGAUUUCCUACACUUUGUGACAACAUUCUGUAGAUGCUUGGACCACCGCAGUUCCCUGUCAAAGAACGGGGUCAUAGUGUGGUCUUCGGAGUCGACAAAAAUGAACCACCUUCGUCUUUUCCUCAGACAAAACUAUACGCACAGCGGAACCAACGGUUUUUCC